UCGAGCGAGUCUGCCUUGAAGAUCGGAGUGCUUGCACUCUGUGAAACAAGAUACAGGCUAGCGGCGGACGGGUGAGUAACACGUGGGUAACCUGCCCAAGAGAUCGGGAUAACACCUGGAAACAGAUGCUAAUACCGGAUAACAACAGAUGAUGCCUAUCAACUGUUUAAAAGAUGGUUCUGCUAUCACUCUUGGAUGGACCUGCGGUGCAUUAGCUAGUUGGUAGGGUAACGGCCUACCAAGGCGAUGAUGCAUAGCCGAGUUGAGAGACUGAUCGGCCACAUUGGGACUGAGACACGGCCCAAACUCCUACGGGAGGCAGCAGUAGGGAAUCUUCCACAAUGGACGCAAGUCUGAUGGAGCAACGCCGCGUGAGUGAAGAAGGGCUUCGGCUCGUAAAGCUCUGUUGUUGGUGAAGAAGGACAGGGGUAGUAACUGACCUUUGUUUGACGGUAAUCAAUUAGAAAGUCACGGCUAACUACGUGCCAGCAGCCGCGGUAAUACGUAGGUGGCAAGCGUUGUCCGGAUUUAUUGGGCGUAAAGCGAGUGCAGGCGGCUCGAUAAGUCUGAUGUGAAAGCCUUCGGCUCAACCGGAGAAUUGCAUCAGAAACUGUCGAGCUUGAGUACAGAAGAGGAGAGUGGAACUCCAUGUGUAGCGGUGAAAUGCGUAGAUAUAUGGAAGAACACCGGUGGCGAAGGCGGCUCUCUGGUCUGUUACUGACGCUGAGGCUCGAAAGCAUGGGUAGCGAACAGGAUUAGAUACCCUGGUAGUCCAUGCCGUAAACGAUGAGUGCUAAGUGUUGGGAGGUUUCCGCCUCUCAGUGCUGCA
RNAcentral lists this ribosomal RNA (829 nucleotides) under uncultured bacterium. RNAcentral's name for it is "bacterial SSU rRNA". It matches the Rfam family "Bacterial small subunit ribosomal RNA", at positions 62 to 850 of the family's 1533-position model. The record is from RNAcentral.